This 315-nucleotide ribosomal RNA is filed under the name uncultured bacterium. Its description in RNAcentral is "bacterial SSU rRNA". It matches the Rfam family "Bacterial small subunit ribosomal RNA", at positions 28 to 334 of the family's 1533-position model. The record is from RNAcentral.
GACGAACGCUGGCGGCGUGCUUAACACAUGCAAGUCGAGCGGGGAUUGAGGAAGUGCUUGCACAGAUUCAAUUCUAGCGGCGGACGGGUGAGUAACGCGUGAACAAUCUGUCCCAGACAGGGGGAUAACACUUGGAAACAGGUGCUAAUACCGCAUAAGACCACGGGAGGACAUCCUUCUGGGGUAAAAGAUUUAUCGGUUUGGGGUGAGUUCGCGUCCGAUUAGCUAGUUGGUGAGGUAACGGCCCACCAAGGCGACGAUCGGUAGCCGACCUGAGAGGGUGAUCGGCCACAUUGGAACUGAGACACGGUCCAA